This 446-nucleotide ribosomal RNA is filed under the name Salmonella enterica subsp. enterica serovar Typhimurium. RNAcentral's name for it is "partial 23S ribosomal RNA". It matches the Rfam family "Bacterial large subunit ribosomal RNA", at positions 911 to 1269 of the family's 2925-position model. Lineage: Bacteria; Pseudomonadati; Pseudomonadota; Gammaproteobacteria; Enterobacterales; Enterobacteriaceae. The record is from RNAcentral. RNAcentral also lists the same sequence under 1 other name.
UGUUUCGGCUAGGGGGCCAUCCCGGCUUACCAACCCGAUGCAAACUGCGAAUACCGGAGAAUGUUAUCACGGGAGACACACGGCGGGUGCUAACGUCCGUCGUGAAGAGGGAAACAACCCAGACCGCCAGCUAAGGUCCCAAAGUCAUGGUUAAGUGGGAAACGAUGUGGGAAGGCCCAGACAGCCAGGAUGUUGGCUUAGAAGCAGCCAUCAUUUAAAGAAAGCGUAAUAGCUCACUGGUCGAGUCGGCCUGCGCGGAAGAUGUAACGGGGCUAAACCAUGCACCGAAGCUGCGGCAGCGAACGUAUCACCCAAGACAACUUUACGGAGUUGACGAUUGACGGAGCGAAGCGACGUCAAAGCGUUCAUUAAAGUCGAGUUGGCUUAGGGAUACGUUCGUUGGGUAGGGGAGCGUUCUGUAAGCCUGUGAAGGUGUGUCGUGAGGC